GUUUUUUGUUAUUGUUUUUGUUUCAGGCAAGCAUUCGACAUUCCAUGCUAGGCAUCACUUUAGGUGGUCCCCACAUUGUAAGGAUUUUAUUAGACUUUUGGCAUGCAACUGGAUGAUUAAUAACAUGACUUGGCUGUAACUUGGAACCAAAUCUCAUGGUAGAUGCAAAUCUGACCGUAUAUGCACCUUCGGCCCACUUUGAACCAUCUUGAUAGUUUUGGAAGAAGUGGGCAUCUAUAGAAGACCCAGUUCCAAGUAGUUGUAGGAUGGAGGAGUUUAAAAUUCAUCAAGACUCCUCUUCUAAUCCAGCACAUUUAAAGGUUCUAUUCCUUUUUUAAAAUCAGUGCAUGUAUCACUUUCAAAGCACACCACCUCUUAUGCGAAUGUGUACCAUUAAGCUAGGGGGUGGAAUCAUCUUAAUCUACUCUUUACUCUUCUUCUUAUUUUUCUUUUUCUUUUUUAUUAUACACAUGCAUUCACACCUCAACACACCCACAUACUCUUGAAGCACUCUCUUCAUUUGAACAGGGUACAAAAAGGUGAAGCAUGGGUUUGGCAUGAGGGUUCCAAGAUCGAUGUUGAGGUUCUUCAAUCAGGGAGAUUUUUCCAUGGAAGCGAUAUUGGUCUUGUUUGGAGUCUAAUAGUUUAUCGGUUCUAAAUGAAGACCAACUUGUUCAAAUUCAAGAAGCGGUUUUGGUGUACAGAUUUGUCUGGCGUAAGCAAUCACAAUUGAAGCCGAUGGACGAGAAGAUAGUAGCUGUCGCACUACAAGCAUUUCAAAAAGUUAUGUGUGACACCAGCUUAUUAGAGACCCGAAAAAGCGACUGACCACCUAUGAAGUUCCGUAUGAGUGUUUUUUUUUAGCUAUAUCAUGUUUUAUAAUUUAGAGAUCUUGACAAUGGUGAAAUAUUUAUGACUGUGAAAAAGCUUUCAAGGUUAGCUCAUUUCUACUUAAAACAUCGAAUAACUAGAUAAAUCAGCCAGAAUGUACAUUGAUUAGUUGGUAGU
Long non-coding RNA from Magnolia sinica, 1008 nucleotides. RefSeq lists it as uncharacterized. The record is from RefSeq and is a predicted model, not a curated record. Lineage: Eukaryota; Viridiplantae; Streptophyta; Magnoliopsida; Magnoliales; Magnoliaceae. The transcript is spliced from 3 exons.